UUUUUGCUGCCACUUUCCUGAAAUUCAUCCAAUACAUCUGUGGAAUAGAAUAAUCAAUCAUCUAAUUGCCUCCUGGUGGAUCUGCUUUUAAAAUCACACUGUUGUGGUAGUGUAGGCAGCCAUGCAUGCAUGGAAUAUGAUUAAUAGGGACACAAACUUCAGUUGUACCUAAUAAUAUUUUGUUCGCUUGUACUCAGAGCCGAACAACAAUUCUCCUUGACAUAUGUUUGGCUACAAGAUUGCGAAAUUUGCUACCCAGACAGUUUUUUAUUGGCAUCUUAUUACUUUUUUCGCAAUAUUCCUCUUCGUUUCUGGUUCUAUAUCACCUGCAAAAUCUCUUAUGAAUAUUAAACAAUUAUUUAAUUAUAAUAUUCAAGCUAACCAUGCAAGCAAACAUUAUUGUGGAGUGAUUGAUUAAAACCCUAUUUGAUUUUGAUGAGCUCAAAGCAUUUGAGUAUAUCUUUUGUUUACUAAUGAAUUCAAUUGAGUGUUUCAGUGAAAAUCUUGUCUAAGUGUUUCUAGACUUGGUUCAAGAUAUUUUGGAA
Molecule: long non-coding RNA, 545 nt
Filed under: Phoenix dactylifera (date palm)
Lineage: Eukaryota; Viridiplantae; Streptophyta; Magnoliopsida; Arecales; Arecaceae
Description: long non-coding RNA (PDAC_LNC021838)
Source: RNAcentral